UACGGGGGGAGCAAGCGUUGUUCGGAUUUACUGGGCGUCAAGGGCGCGUAGGCGGCCACCGCAAGUCGACUGUGAAAUCUCCGGGCUUAACCCGGAAAGGUCAGCCGAUACUGCGGGGCUAGAGUGCAGAAGGGGCAACUGGAAUUCUCGGUGUAGCGGUGAAAUGCGUAGAUAUCGAGAGGAACACCUGCGGCGAAGGCGGGUUGCUGGGCUGACACUGACGCUGAGGCGCGAAAGCUAGGGGAGCGAACGGG
RNAcentral lists this ribosomal RNA (254 nucleotides) under uncultured bacterium. RNAcentral describes it as "partial 16S ribosomal RNA". It matches the Rfam family "Bacterial small subunit ribosomal RNA", at positions 524 to 776 of the family's 1533-position model. The record is from RNAcentral.